AAUGGUGAAAAGUACCCCGGGAGGGGAGUGAAAUAGUACCUGAAACCGUGUGCCUGUAAGCCGUCAGAGCCUUGUGGGGUGAUGGCGUGCCUUUUGAAGAAUGAGCCUGCGAGUUAGUGAUACGUGGCGUGCUUAACCCGUGUGGGGUAUGCGUAGCGAAAGCGAGUCUGAAAUAUUGGCGUUUGUCGCGUGUUCUAGACCCGAAGCGGGGUGAUCUACCCAUGGUCAGGUUGAAGCAGAGGUAAGACUGUGUGGAGGACCGAACCCACCAGGGUUGAAAACCUGGGGGAUGAACUGUGGGUAGGGGUGAAAGGCCAAUCAAACUCCGUGAUAGCUGGUUCUCCCCGAAAUGCAUUUAGGUGCAGCGUUGCGUGGUCCCUGGUGGAGGUAGAGCUACUGGAUGGCCGAUGGGCCCUGUGGGUUACUGACGUCAGCCAAACUCCGAAUGCCAUUAGGUGUAGCGUGGCAGUGAGACUGCGGGGGAUAAGCUUCGUAGUCGAGAGGGAAACAGCCCAGAUCAUCAGCUAAGGCCCCUAAGCGUGCGCUAAGUGGGAAAGGAUGUGGAGUCGCGGUGACAACCAGGAGGUUGGCUUAGAAGCAGCCAUCCUUGAAAGAGUGCGUAAUAGCUCACUGGUCAAGUGGUUCUGCGCCGACAAUGUAGCGGGGCUCAAGCGUACCGCCGAAGCUGUGGCAGCAACACGUAUGGCUGGCGCCAUUUAUUGGUUGUUGGUGUGUUGUUGGGUAGGGGAGCGUCCUGCAUGAGGUGAAGCCUGGAGGUGACUUCUGGUGGAUUGUGUGGGAGUGAGAAUGCAGGCAUGAGUAACGAAUCUGCGGUGAGAAUCCGCAGCGCCGAUUGACUAAGGGUUCCAGGGCUAGGUUUAUCCGCCCUGGGUUAGUCGGGUCCUAAGGCGAGGCCGACAGGCGUAGUCGAUGGACAACCAGUUGAUAUUCUGGUACCAGGUUGUGACCGCCCAUGCUGAGGUCAUUGUGCUAACCAAUCUGCCCGCCGCGCUCUGGUCCUUCGGGAUUGGGGUUGUGUGUGGGUCUUGGGGUCCCGGUGAUGGUAGGCAAGCGUGUUAACAGGGGUGACGCAGACAGGUAACUGCAGUGCGCCGAUGGUUGUGCGUAUUUAAGGUUGUGGCCCGCCCUUCAGGUAAAUCCGGGGGGCACUAGGGGUGAGGACUGAUGAGGGACACACGCGUGUGUGGACUUGUGGUGAUCCUAUGCUGCCGAGAAAAGCCUCGACGUGAGGGCAUGACGCGCCCGUACCCUAAACCGACUCAGGUGGUCAGGUAGAGUAUACCGAGGCGUUCGAGUGAAUCGUGGUUAAGGAACUCGGCAAAAUUCCUCCGUAACUUCGGGAUAAGGAGGACCCCGUGACUUCCCAAUGCUUUGCGUGUUGGUGGGGUUGUGGGGUCGCAGAGAAUAGGGAGAAGCGACUGUUUAUCAAAAACACAGGUGCGUGCGAAGCCGUAAGGCGAUGUAUACGCACUGACGCCUGCCCGGUGCUGGAAGGUUAAGAGGAACCGUUAACAUUCUUUGUGGGUGUGAAGCGGUGAAUUUAAGCCCCAGUAAACGGCGGUGGUAACUAUAACCAUCCUAAGGUAGCGAAAUUCCUUGUCGGGUAAGUUCCGACCUGCACGAAUGGCGUAACGACUUCUCCGCUGUCUCAACCGCGAACUCGGUGAAAUUGCAGUACGAGUAAAGAUGCUCGUUUCGCGCAGAAGGACGGAAAGACCCCGGGACCUUUACUAUAGCUUGGUAUUGGUGUUCGCUUGGACUUGUGUAGGAUAGGUGGGAGACUGUGAAGCUGCCGCGCCAGCGGUGGUGGAGUCGUCGUUGAAAUACCAUUCUGGUUUAAGCGGUCACCUUAACCUUGGCCCGUGAUCCGGGUUGGGGACAGUGCCUGGUGGGUAGUUUAACUGGGGCGGUUGCCUCCUAAAAUGUAACGGAGGCGCUCAAAGGUUCCCUCAGCCUGGUUGGUAAUCAGGUGGCGAGUGCAAGUGUACAAGGGAGCUUGACUGUGAGACCGACGGGUCGAGCAGGUGCGAAAGCAGGAACUAGUGAUCCGGCCAUGGCACGUGGGUGCGUGGUCGCUCAACGGAUAAAAGGUACCCCGGGGAUAACAGGCUGAUCUUGCCCAAGAGUCCAUAUCGACGGCAUGGUUUGGCACCUCGAUGUCGGCUCGUCGCAUCCUGGGGCUGGAGUCGGUCCCAAGGGUUGGGCUGUUCGCCCAUUAAAGCGGUACGCGAGCUGGGUUCAGAACGUCGUGAGACAGUUCGGUCCCUAUCCUCUGUGCGCGCAGGAAAUUUGAGGAGGGCCGUCCCUAGUACGAGAGGACCGGGAUGGACGAACCUCUGGUGUGCCAGUUGUACCGCCAGGUGCAUGGCUGGUUAGCUACGUUCGGAAGGGAUAACCGCUGAAAGCAUCUAAGCGGGAAGCCUGCUCCAAGAUGAGGUUUCCACGCCCCCCCGUGGGGUGAGAGGCCCCCGCCAGACGAGCGGGUUGA
RNAcentral lists this ribosomal RNA (2509 nucleotides) under human metagenome. RNAcentral describes it as "bacterial LSU rRNA". It matches the Rfam family "Bacterial large subunit ribosomal RNA", at positions 510 to 2856 of the family's 2925-position model. The record is from RNAcentral.